CUGCUUCAAUUACUGUCUCUCAUUUCUUAGUUUCACCCUACUUUAAGCUCCAUUCCUUUUACUCCAUAAAAUUUUCCCAUCCCCAACACGUCAAUUCUACAACAUGAGUGAUGAGAGUCAUACCCAGAUACAGAGGAGACUCUGUGACUACUGUAACCAGUCCACAGCUCUGUUAUAUUGCAGAGCUGAUUCCGCCAAGCUCUGUUUUUCAUGCGAUAGGGAAGUUCACUCAGCUAACCAACUGUUUACUAAGCACUCUCGGUCACAGUUGUGUGACGCCUGUGACGAAUCACCUGCUUCCCUCUUUUGCGAAACGGAGCAGUCUGUGUUUUGCUCGAAUUGUGAUUGGGAACGCCACAGGUGUUCGUUGCAUAAUAGGAGGCCUGUAGAAGUCUUCACCGGGUGCCCUUCGGUGAGUGAGUUGCUGAGUUUUCUUGGGAUCGAGGAUUUGGGUAACGAUAAAGCUUCCUGUUGGAGUGAAGAUGAUGGGUUUCUUGAUUUUUUGACUUGGGAAUGUCCUUUGAUUUCUGGGUUUGAUGGAGUGAUUGUUCCGAAUGAUAUGGAUCAUGGGUUUAAGGCUACGGAUGUUCCUCCUCUACCUAAGAAUCGUAAUUCAUCUUGUGGACAACAUAAAGAGGAGAUAUUCCAUCAGCUGCAUGAACUGGCAAAAUCAGAUCCCACCCUCACCUUUCAAAAAAUUGAUUUGCAGUCGCUGAUACCUGAGACUGAUCAUUUUCAGCCAGCAAGUAUGCAACCAAGUUGCAAUAAUGAUGCAGAUCCUGUUUCAUGCCCUGCUUUAGAGCAAGUUCUCUUGGCAGUCAAAGCACAUAAGCUUCAACGCUUCUUAGACGAGAAUCAAGAUCCUCCCACUCAGUUUCUUUCAGAUGACAGCGGUGGUUGUUGUGAGAAUCCGGAGUUUGCACAUUUUGAGCAACAGGACAGUGCGUUUGCGUUAUGGCUGUUAUCUUCUAUCAGUUCAUCUGUUCUGCCUCACCUUAUUGGCAUAGAUACAAGUGCGAAGAUCUGGAAAGCGGUUGUCACUUUGUAUGGGAGUAAAACCACUUCCAAGUUGAUAUUUUAUCGGCGGACUUUGCACUCCCAGCGCAAGGGUGAGUUGAGCAUGAAAGACUUUUUGGUCAAGAUGAAAGGCUGUUGCGAUCAUCUUGCCAGCUGUGGUGAGAUCAUCAGUGAGCACGAGCAUAUCACUGCGACACUGCGAUUCUAAAUGGUCUUUCUCCAGACUAUGAAUCUGUUAUUACAAUUGUUACAUCAAGUCAGGUGCCCUACACAGUUCAAGGAGUAAUAUCCAUGCUUCUUGAUGCUGAAGCGCGACAACAGCUUGCGAGUACUGAAAUAUCUAGUUCUGUUAACGUGGUGUCUCAUCAAUCAUCUGACUCCACAGUUUCUAAUGAUCCCAUCCCUUCUUAUCAACCGUCGUCUAUAAGUCGGGGGUGUGGGCGAGGUCGUUCUUCUCACUCAAAGAUUCAAUGUCAGUUGUGUGGGAAGGUUGGUCAUCUUGUUAAUCGCUGUUACUAUUGAUUUGACUCUUCCUACAAAAGUAACAACUACAGGCCACCCACAAGCAAAUAUUUGCAUGGUUGGGUCCGGUUCUUCUGCUACACCCUGGUUCCCUCCUUCUCAACCUCAAUGGAGUUCACCAGGUUGGUGUUUUCCCACUCUUCCGUCAUCUACUUGGACUAAUCCGUUUGUUGGUAGUCCUCCACAACAGGUCCCUAUGCCUUCCUCUAGCACAGCUUCAGCACCGUCUCAGGCAUAUGUAACGACUCCUGAAACUGUAGCCGAUAAUUCAUGGUAUCCGGAUUCAGGUGCCAUGCAUCAUUUGACAAAUUCAGCCAGCUCCAUUGGUGAUACUGGAUCCUUCAAAGGACCAGUGCCGGUGCGUGAUUUGAAGACAAUGGAGAUUUUACUUUGAGGCUCCGUUCAUCAUGGGUUAUACAGACUUCAUAUCAAUCAGUCUACUGGAACUCAUGUGCCUUCUAAGCCUGCUCAGUGUUUUUCGACUAGUGUCAGACUUCCUCUUAGUGUUUGGCACUAUCGAUUAGGACACCCCUGUCGUGCUAAUCUUACAAAAGCACUUAUACGAUGUAAUAUACCAUAUACUGAUAUCAAUAAAUUUGUUGAUUGUGUUGCA
RNA transcript from Gossypium raimondii (Peruvian cotton), 2152 nucleotides. It is a transcript of the gene named zinc finger protein CONSTANS-LIKE 13, with no coding region annotated. The record is from RefSeq and is a predicted model, not a curated record. NCBI's taxonomy places the organism in Eukaryota, Viridiplantae, Streptophyta, Magnoliopsida, Malvales, Malvaceae. The transcript has 4 exons.